Alosa alosa (allis shad) is the source of this 548-nucleotide long non-coding RNA. RefSeq lists it as uncharacterized. Lineage: Eukaryota; Metazoa; Chordata; Actinopteri; Clupeiformes; Clupeidae. The record is from RefSeq and is a predicted model, not a curated record. The transcript has 4 exons.
GGAAAGUAUUAUUGAUCCCUAUCCUGAGUGAGAAAUUUAUUGUGCCAAACUUCAUAACGUAAUUUAGCAACAGUGCCGCCAGCCGAGCUAGCUGCAAGUUACCAGUGAACAGUAACUUGCAGCUCCAAGCGGAUUUGUACGCAGCCUUACAACACUCUUUACAGCUCUUCGAGUCACGGUGGUGGAGGUGGAGGUGUCACUGUUUUCAGAGGGGAGGCCCACAUUGAUGGAGUUUGGGAACCCAUGGUCUACUGUACAAUCAAACACAGCAACUAUAGCCUACGAUUUUUAAACAAUUUCUAAAUUGCUGAACGACGCACAACUUGUCUUUAACUGCAGCGCACUCAAAUGCAUAGAAAAGGUUCUCAAACGAUGUCCGUCCAAAGAAGACUUCCUUCGAUAGUAUAUUUUCACCUCUUACUCUGCUUCGUUCUGUGUGAGGAGUAUGCGCCAAGGAACGUGAGAAUCUUAAUUCCAGAUGGUGACACCGACAACAUGGAAUACCAAUGUGUUGCCGAUGCCAACCCACCGCCGACUUAUUUAUGGAG